UAAUUUGCAAAGCGGACUGCAUCUGAUUUACAAGAAAACAAGUAAAAACUUUUAACAACGGAUCUCUUGGUUCUGGCAUCGAUGAAGAACGCAGCGAAAUGCGAUAAGUAAUGUGAAUUGCAGAAUUCAGUGAAUCAUCGAAUCUUUGAACGCACAUUGCGCCCGGCAGCAAUCUGCCGGGCAUGCCURUCCGAGCGUCAUUUCUUCCCUCGAGCGCGGUUAGACCCACGUGGCCUGCCGCCGCCCGGCGUUGGGGCUCUACGGGCGGCCGGGGUCUUUACGGCCCCGCCCCCGCAGUCCCUGAAAUGUAGUGGCGGUCCAGCCGCGGCGCCCCCUGCGUAGUAGUUUACAACCUCGCAUCGGGACCCGGCGAAGGCCAGCCGUCGAACCCAAAUCUUUUGAUGGUUUGACCUCGGAUCAGGUAGGGUUACCCGCUGAACUUAAGCAUAUCAAUAA
Molecule: small RNA, 456 nt
Filed under: Pseudoscopulariopsis schumacheri
Lineage: Eukaryota; Fungi; Ascomycota; Sordariomycetes; Microascales; Microascaceae
Description: eukaryotic LSU rRNA
Rfam family: 5.8S ribosomal RNA (bases 47-200)
Source: RNAcentral